UACGGGGGGAGCAAGCGUUGUUCGGAUUUACUGGGCGUAAAGGGCGCGUAGGCGGCGUGGCAAGUCACUUGUGAAAUCUCCGGGCUUAACUCGGAACGGUCAAGUGAUACUGCUGUGCUAGAGUGCGGAAGGGGCAACUGGAAUUCUUGGUGUAGCGGUGAAAUGCGUAGAUAUCUGGAGGAACACCGGUGGCGAAGGCGGCAUCCUGGACCGACAUUGACGCUGAGGCGCGAAAGCCAGGGGAGCAAACGGG
Molecule: ribosomal RNA, 253 nt
Filed under: uncultured bacterium
Lineage: Bacteria
Description: partial 16S ribosomal RNA
Rfam family: Bacterial small subunit ribosomal RNA
Source: RNAcentral